UACGUAGGGGGCAAGCGUUGUCCGGAAUCAUUGGGCGUAAAGCGCGUGUAGGCGGCCCGAUAAGUCCGCUGUGAAAGUCCAGGGCUCAACCCUGGGAUGCCGGUGGAUACUGUCGGGCUCGAGUCCGGAAGAGGCGAGUGGAAUUCCUGGUGUAGCGGUGAAAUGCGCAGAUAUCAGGAGGAAUACCGAUGGCGAAGGCAGGUCUCUGGGCUGACACUGACGCUCAUGCACGAAAGCGUGGGGAGCCAACAGG
Molecule: ribosomal RNA, 253 nt
Filed under: uncultured bacterium
Lineage: Bacteria
Description: partial 16S ribosomal RNA
Rfam family: Bacterial small subunit ribosomal RNA
Source: RNAcentral